GCCCGGAUGGCGGAAUUGGUAGACGCGUUGGUCUCAAACACCAAUGUCUUCGGACGUGCCGGUUCGACCCCGGCUCCGGGUACAA
RNAcentral lists this transfer RNA (85 nucleotides) under Bacteroidota bacterium. RNAcentral's name for it is "Bacteroidetes bacterium (bioreactor metagenome) tRNA-Leu". It matches the Rfam family "tRNA". Rfam says of the family: Transfer RNA (tRNA) molecules are approximately 80 nucleotides in length. Their secondary structure includes four short double-helical elements and three loops (D, anti-codon, and T loops). The record is from RNAcentral. Lineage: Bacteria; Pseudomonadati; Bacteroidota.